RNAcentral lists this ribosomal RNA (209 nucleotides) under uncultured bacterium. Its description in RNAcentral is "partial 16S ribosomal RNA". It matches the Rfam family "Bacterial small subunit ribosomal RNA", at positions 568 to 774 of the family's 1533-position model. The record is from RNAcentral.
CGCGUAGGUGGUUUGUUAAGUUGGAUGUGAAAGCCCCGGGCUCAACCUGGGAACUGCAUCCAAAACCUGGCAAGCUAGAGUACGGUAGAGGGUGGUGGAAUUUCCUGUGUAGCGGUGAAAUGCGUAGAUAUAGGAAGGAACACCAGUGGCGAAGGCGACCACCUGGACUGAUACUGACACUGAGGUGCGAAAGCGUGGGGAGGCAAAUA